RNAcentral lists this long non-coding RNA (507 nucleotides) under Bos taurus (domestic cattle). Its description in RNAcentral is "long non-coding RNA NONBTAT000573". Lineage: Eukaryota; Metazoa; Chordata; Mammalia; Artiodactyla; Bovidae. The record is from RNAcentral.
GUCUGGUUUCCUAAGGGAGGUAAUAACUGACAGGAUCCCCUGACAACAAAAGGAACAGCAAAAAGUUGGAGGUCCAAAGAAAACACACACUAGCUCCUUGGCCCCUGAAUAGCUAAGGGACGGUCAGACCUUCAUCUGUUUUAUUUGUCCAGGGGAGGCAGAUCACCAUCACACUAUAUUCAGGUCUCUUCCCUCAGAAGUCCCUAUGGUGCUUGGUUAGCUGUCAGUGUUGUUAAAUAGCACGUUUCUCCCAGAACCAUUGGAACGCCUCCUGGGGCAGAAGACUUGCCCUUGAAGGUGGCCUGGCAGGAGCUGCCUGGGGUCUCCAGAUCUGGGUCUCUGGAUGGUAGCUCUGCUUAACCUGCCAAGGUUCCAUGUUCAAGUAGUUAAGUUAGAGGCAGCAGUUCCCUCCCCACUUAGGACCACAACAGCCUGUAUUUGUUUUUCUUCUAUUUGGUCUCAUUUACCUACUCCUUGCUUUGUAAAAAUAAAACACAAAGGUUUUAU